Molecule: ribosomal RNA, 253 nt
Filed under: uncultured bacterium
Lineage: Bacteria
Description: partial 16S ribosomal RNA
Rfam family: Bacterial small subunit ribosomal RNA
Source: RNAcentral
GACAGAGGUUGCAAACGUUGUUCGGAAUUACUGGGCAUAAAGCGCGCGUAGGCGGUCCGUUAAGUCAUGUGUGAAAUCCCCCGGCUCAACCGGGGAAUUGCGCCUGAUACUGGCGGGCUAGAGAUCGAUAGGGGUGAGUGGAACUCCAGGUGGAGCGGUGAAAUGCGUAGAUAUCACUUGGAACGCCAACGGUGAAAACAGCUCGCUGGGGAUGUGCUGACGCUGAGACACGAAAGCCAGGGGAGCGAACGGG